RNAcentral lists this ribosomal RNA (458 nucleotides) under uncultured bacterium. RNAcentral's name for it is "partial 16S ribosomal RNA". It matches the Rfam family "Bacterial small subunit ribosomal RNA", at positions 338 to 795 of the family's 1533-position model. The record is from RNAcentral.
CCUACGGGAGGCUGCAGUGAGGAAUAUUGGUCAAUGGGCGAGAGCCUGAACCAGCAAAGUCGCGUGAGGGAGUACUGCCCUCUGGGUUGUAAACCUCUUUUGUCGGGGAGCAAAAGCCGGACGUGUCCGGCUGUGAGAGUACCCGAAGAAAAAGCAUCGGCUAACACCGUGCCAGCAGCCGCGGUAAUACGGAGGAGGCGAGCUUUGUCCGGAUUUAUUGGGGUUAAAGGGUGCGCAGGGGGAUUUUUAAGUCAGCGGUCAAAUCGUGGGGCUCAACCCCAUCCAGCCGUUGAAACUGGGGAUCUAGAGUGUGCGAGAGGUAUGCGGAAUGCGUGGUGUAGCGGUGAAAUGCAUAGAUAUCACGCAGAACCCCGAUGGCGAAGGCAGCAUACCGGUGCACAACUGACGCUCAGGCACGAAAGCGUGGGUAUCGAACAGGAUUAGAUACCCCAGUAGUC